RNAcentral lists this ribosomal RNA (465 nucleotides) under uncultured bacterium. RNAcentral describes it as "partial 16S ribosomal RNA". It matches the Rfam family "Bacterial small subunit ribosomal RNA", at positions 339 to 795 of the family's 1533-position model. The record is from RNAcentral.
CUACGGGAUGCACCAGUGGGGAAUAUUGGACAAUGGGGGAAACCCUGAUCCAGCAAUGCCGCGUGUGUGAAGAAGGCCUGCGGGUUGUAAAGCACUUUCGGUUGGGAGGACUGCUUCUAGCACUAAUAUUGUUGGAAGUUGACGUUACCUUCAGAAGAAGCACCGGCUAACUCCGUGCCAGCAGCCGCGGUAAUACGGAGGGUGCAAGCGUGAAUCGGAAUUACUGGGCGUAAAGCGCGCGUAGGCGGCUAGAUCAGUCGGGUGUGAAAGCCCCGGGCUUAACCUGGGAACUGCAUCCGAUACUGUCUAGCUUGAGUACAGGAGAGGAGAGUGGAAUUCCACAUGUAGCGGUGAAAUGCGUAGAUAUGUGGAGGAACACCAAUGGCGAAGGCAGCUCUCUGGCCUGAUACUGACGCUGAGGUGCGAAAGCGCGGGGAGCAAACAGGAUUAGAUACCCUUGUAGUC